Molecule: ribosomal RNA, 447 nt
Filed under: Phronima sp. USNM IZ 1450286
Lineage: Eukaryota; Metazoa; Arthropoda; Malacostraca; Amphipoda; Phronimidae
Description: SSU rRNA
Rfam family: Eukaryotic small subunit ribosomal RNA
Source: RNAcentral
GUACAGCCCAUCUCUUCGGAGUUACGGGUGAAACCGCAGACGGCUCAUUAAAUCAGUUGUGGUCUAAGUGGGCGACAGUUCCCUUAAUUGGAUAACUGUGGAAAAUCCAGAGCUAAUACAUGCGACACACGGCCCUGACUCCUCUCCCAGGCUAGUAAAUGUCGCUAGAUGGGGGUUGAGGUAGGGUGCUUUUAUUAGACCGAGGCGCGCGUCCGGAUGCUAUUAGGUGGGGAAUUUAUUCCUCCCUAGGCAUCAGUUCGAUCGCAGUAAGCGCUAUAAGGUGACUCUGGAUAACAUUGAUAAGCGAGGGUUAUUCCUAUCGCUGCCUACUUACGAGUGACUGACCUAUCAGGUAGGAAUGCAUGUUAUACGCGGGCAUUGCCGCUGACGGGUAACGGGGAAUCAGAGUUCGAUUCCGGAGAGGCAGCCUGAGAAACGGCUACCACG